This 448-nucleotide ribosomal RNA is filed under the name uncultured bacterium. RNAcentral's name for it is "SSU rRNA". It matches the Rfam family "Bacterial small subunit ribosomal RNA", at positions 26 to 518 of the family's 1533-position model. The record is from RNAcentral.
AGAGCGAACGCUGGCGGCAGGCUUAACACAUGCAAGUCGAGCGGGCGUAGCAAUACGUCAGCGGCAGACGGGUGAGUAACGCGUGGGAACAUACCUUUUGGUUCGGAACAACACAGGGAAACUUGUGCUAAUACCGGAUAAGCCCUUACGGGGAAAGAUUUAUCGCCGAAAGAUUGGCCCGCGUCUGAUUAGCUAGUUGGUGAGGUAACGGCUCACCAAGGCGACGAUCAGUAGCUGGUCUGAGAGGAUGAUCAGCCACAUUGGGACUGAGACACGGCCCAAACUCCUACGGGAGGCAGCAGUGGGAAUAUUGGACAAUGGGCGCAAGCCUGAUCCAGCCAUGCCGCGUGAGUGAUGAAGGCCCUAGGGUUGUAAAGCUCUUUUGUGCGGGAAGAUAAUGACGGUACCGCAAGAAUAACGCCCCGGCUAACUUCGCGCCAGCAGCCGC